AGUGAACGCUGGCGGCAGGCCUAAUACAUGCAAGUCGAACGGCAGCACAGCAGAGCUUGCUCUGUGGGUGGCGAGUGGCGGACGGGUGAGGAAUACAUGGGAAUCUGCCCAGUCGUGGGGGAUAACGUAUGGAAACGUACGCUAAUACCGCAUGCGCCCUACGGGGGAAAGUCGGGGAUCGCAAGGCCUGACGCGAUUGGAUGAGCCCAUGUUCGAUUAGCUAGUUGGCGGGGUAAAGGCCCACCAAGGCGACGAUCGAUAGCUGGUCUGAGAGGAUGAUCAGCCACACUGGAACUGAGACACGGUCCAGACUCCUACGGGAGGCAGCAGUAGGGAAUAUUGGACAAUGGGGGCAACCCUGAUCCAGCCAUGCCGCGUGAGUGAAGAAGGCCCUCGGGUUGUAAAGCUCUUUUGUCCGGAAAGAAAAGCAUCUGGUUAAUACCCGGGUGUUCUGACGGUACCGGAAGAAUAAGCACCGGCUAACUUCGUGCC
RNAcentral lists this ribosomal RNA (492 nucleotides) under uncultured bacterium. RNAcentral describes it as "bacterial SSU rRNA". It matches the Rfam family "Bacterial small subunit ribosomal RNA", at positions 29 to 509 of the family's 1533-position model. The record is from RNAcentral.